AGUAAUGCUUAGGAAUCUGCCUAUUAGUGGGGGACAACAUCUCGAAAGGGAUGCUAAUACCGCAUACGUCCUACGGGAGAAAGCAGGGGAUCUUCGGACCUUGCGCUAAUAGAUGAGCCUAAGUCGGAUUAGCUAGUUGGUGGGGUAAAGGCCUACCAAGGCGACGAUCUGUAGCGGGUCUGAGAGGAUGAUCCGCCACACUGGGACUGAGACACGGCCCAGACUCCUACGGGAGGCAGCAGUGGGGAAUAUUGGACAAUGGGGGGAACCCUGAUCCAGCCAUGCCGCGUGUGUGAAGAAGGCCUUAUGGUUGUAAAGCACUUUAAGCGAGGAGGAGGCUACUUUAGUUAAUACCUAGAGAUAGUGGACGUUACUCGCAGAAUAAGCACCGGCUAACUCUGUGCCAGCAGCCGCGGUAAUACAGAGGGUGCGAGCGUUAAUCGGAUUUACUGGGCGUAAAGCGUGCGUAGGCGGCUUAUUAAGUCGGAUGUGAAAUCCCCGAGCUUAACUUGGGAAUUGCAUUCGAUACUGGUGAGCUAGAGUAUGGGAGAGGAUGGUAGAAUUCCAGGUGUAGCGGUGAAAUGCGUAGAGAUCUGGAGGAAUACCGAUGGCGAAGGCAGCCAUCUGGCCUAAUACUGACGCUGAGGUACGAAAGCAUGGGGAGCAAACAGGAUUAGAUACCCUGGUAGUCCAUGCCGUAAAC
RNAcentral lists this ribosomal RNA (703 nucleotides) under Acinetobacter baumannii. RNAcentral describes it as "bacterial SSU rRNA". It matches the Rfam family "Bacterial small subunit ribosomal RNA", at positions 109 to 807 of the family's 1533-position model. The record is from RNAcentral. Lineage: Bacteria; Pseudomonadati; Pseudomonadota; Gammaproteobacteria; Moraxellales; Moraxellaceae.